This is a long non-coding RNA of Triticum aestivum (bread wheat), 190 nucleotides long. RefSeq lists it as uncharacterized. The record is from RefSeq and is a predicted model, not a curated record. Lineage: Eukaryota; Viridiplantae; Streptophyta; Magnoliopsida; Poales; Poaceae. The transcript has 3 exons.
UAGUUACAGGGUUCUUUGGAUCAGAUAUCUAAAUCUCGAGAUGUUCCUUCUAUUGCUAAGACAAUUUCAAAGAGAAAAAGAAUUUAUGGCGACGGUCAUAGUCAACAACUUGGUACUGUUGGGCAGCAGAAUAAUGUGAAGAGCAAGGAAACAUUUCUCGAUGACAGGGAGAUGCAACCAUCAUACAAAC